GGGGGUGUACUGGUUUCGACAGGGAUAUGUCUGGUACAGACUGCAGUCGAGUGGUUACGUAAUAACCAAUUAAAUUUAAACGGAAAAACUAAAUUAGCUAACCUCUUUGGUGGAAACCAGAGAAUGGCUUUCGCUGCUUAAUAACCGAUAUAGGUUCGCAGCCGCCUCUGCAUGCUUUUUCCUUGACCAUGUGGAUGUGCGCGUAAGACGCAAGGGAUAAGGAAUCUGGUUUGCCUGAGAUCAGAUUCACGAAAAUUCUUCAGGCACAUUCAUCAGCGGAUGUUCAUGACCUGCUGAUGUCUUAAUCUUCAUGGACUAAACUGUAGAGGUCUGUACGUGGGGCUGUUUCUGGACAGGAGUUCGACUCUCCUCACCUCCACCA
This 382-nucleotide transfer-messenger RNA is filed under the name Clostridioides difficile. It matches the Rfam family "transfer-messenger RNA". From Rfam's summary of the family: Bacterial tmRNA, also known as 10Sa RNA or SsrA, is named for its dual tRNA and mRNA-like properties. Its role is to liberate the mRNA from a stalled ribosome. The record is from RNAcentral. Lineage: Bacteria; Bacillati; Bacillota; Clostridia; Peptostreptococcales; Peptostreptococcaceae. RNAcentral also lists the same sequence under 3 other names.